Molecule: ribosomal RNA, 253 nt
Filed under: uncultured bacterium
Lineage: Bacteria
Description: partial 16S ribosomal RNA
Rfam family: Bacterial small subunit ribosomal RNA
Source: RNAcentral
UACAGAGGGUGCAAGCGUUGUCCGGAAUUAUUGGGCGUAAAGAGCUCGUAGGCGGCCUGUUGCGUCCGCUGUGAAAGCCCGGGGCUUAACCCCGGGUCGGCAGUGGAUACGGGCAGGCUAGAGGUAGGUAGGGGAGAAUGGAAUUCCCGGUGUAGCGGUGAAAUGCGCAGAUAUCGGGAGGAACACCGGUGGCGAAGGCGGUUCUCUGGGCCUUACCUGACGCUGAGGAGCGAAAGCGUGGGGAGCGAACAGG